CACGAAAUAAGGCGAGCUAAAUAAUAGUAAUUAGUAGAUUAAUAUAUGUAACAUAAUAUAAUUAAAUUGUUAUUUAGGGGUGAUAGGCUAUCCAAGUCUUAAGAUAUCUUGAUACUUUCGAAAAACAGCAGUGUUAAGACAACUUAAGAAUGAUAAGGUUUUUAAGAAGCAUUAAUAUUUAUAAAGAGUUUUUAUUUAAGUUUAACCAUUAGAUAUAGAGUGUCAAAUUAUUAUUGAUAUAAAAAAAUUAUGCAUACUACAAAGUACCAGGGAACAUAUUGGAAUGUUUAUAAUGUGAUUAUUAGUAAUUUCCUAGGUUAGAUUAAUGAACUCGGCGACAUACCUUUCAACUGUUUAUCAAAAACAUAGCCAUGAGUAACUAUUUAUGGUGUUUUCUGCUCCAUGAAUUAUUUAAAUAGCCGCAGUACUCUGACUGUGCAAAGGUAGCGUAAUAAGUUGACUUAUAAUUGAAGUCUUGAAUGAAAGAAAGUUUGAGGGGUAACUGUAUCAAUAAAAUUACUUGAAGUUAUUAAAUAAGUGCAAAUACUUAUAUUAAAAUAAUAGACGAGAAGACCCUAGAAAUUUUGAUCACAUUGUAUGUUAACAUUUUUGUUGGGGCAACAAGGUACCAGGAAACUUACCUUUAUAUACACGGAACUAUAUAGUUAGAUUAAAUUACUCUAGGGAUAACAGCGUAAUAUUUAUUUGUUUGCGACCUCGAUGUUGGACUAGGGAACGACUGCUUAGAA
Molecule: ribosomal RNA, 749 nt
Filed under: Mesodontrachia fitzroyana
Lineage: Eukaryota; Metazoa; Mollusca; Gastropoda; Stylommatophora; Camaenidae
Description: partial 16S ribosomal RNA
Source: RNAcentral